CCUACGGGAGGCAGCAGUGAGGAAUAUUGGGCAAUGGACGCAAGCCUGAACCAGCCAAGCAGCGUGAAGGAAGACGGCUCUAUGAGUUGUAAACUGCUUUUGUAAGGGGGUAAACAGAGACACGUGUACCUGUCUGAAAGUAUCUUAUGAAUAAGGAUCGGCUAACUCCGUGCCAGCAGCCGCGGUAAUACGGAGGAUUCAAGCGUUAUCCGGAUUUAUUGGGUUUAAAGGGUGCGUAGGUGGGCGGAUAAGUUAGAUGUGAAAUCUCGAGGCUCAACUUCGGAAUUGCCUUUGAUACUGGUCGUCUUGAGUGUAGUUGCGGUAGGCGGAAUGUGUGGUGUAGCGGUGAAAUGCUUAGAGAUCACGCAGAACACCGAUUGCGAAGGCAGCUUACCAAACUGCUUCUGACGUUGAGGCUCGAAAGCGUGGGGAGCAAACAGGAUUAGAUACCCCAGUAGUC
RNAcentral lists this ribosomal RNA (460 nucleotides) under uncultured bacterium. RNAcentral describes it as "partial 16S ribosomal RNA". It matches the Rfam family "Bacterial small subunit ribosomal RNA", at positions 338 to 795 of the family's 1533-position model. The record is from RNAcentral.